UCCCCUGUAGCUCAGCGGUAGAGCAGCCGGCUGUUAACCGGCGGGUCGUAGGUUCGAAUCCUACCGGGGGAG
RNAcentral lists this transfer RNA (72 nucleotides) under Fimbriiglobus ruber. It matches the Rfam family "tRNA". Rfam says of the family: Transfer RNA (tRNA) molecules are approximately 80 nucleotides in length. Lineage: Bacteria; Pseudomonadati; Planctomycetota; Planctomycetia; Gemmatales; Gemmataceae. The record is from Rfam by way of RNAcentral. RNAcentral also lists the same sequence under 5 other names.